Molecule: ribosomal RNA, 497 nt
Filed under: uncultured bacterium
Lineage: Bacteria
Description: partial 16S ribosomal RNA
Rfam family: Bacterial small subunit ribosomal RNA
Source: RNAcentral
GAUGAACGCUGGCGGCGUGCCUAAUACAUGCAAGUCGAGCGAACGGACGAGAAGCUUGCUUCUCUGAUGUUAGCGGCGGACGGGUGAGUAACACGUGGAUAACCUACCUAUAAGACUGGGAUAACUUCGGGAAACCGGAGCUAAUACCGGAUAAUAUUUUGAACCGCGUGGUUCAAAAGUGAAAGACGGUCUUGCUGUCACUUAUAGAUGGAUCCGCGCUGCAUUAGCUAGUUGGUAAGGUAACGGCUUACCAAGGCAACGAUGCAUAGCCGACCUGAGAGGGUGAUCGGCCACACUGGAACUGAGACACGGUCCAGACUCCUACGGGAGGCAGCAGUAGGGAAUCUUCCGCAAUGGGCGAAAGCCUGACGGAGCAACGCCGCGUGAGUGAUGAAGGUCUUCGGAUCGUAAAACUCUGUUAUUAGGGAAGAACAUAUGUGUAAGUAACUGUGCACAUCUUGACGGUACCUAAUCAGAAAGCCGCGGCUAACUACGUG